RNAcentral lists this ribosomal RNA (212 nucleotides) under Sclerococcales sp. Its description in RNAcentral is "partial large subunit ribosomal RNA". Lineage: Eukaryota; Fungi; Ascomycota; Eurotiomycetes; Sclerococcales. The record is from RNAcentral.
AAGCGCUUGCAACCAGACUUGUUUACAGGGUUCAGCCGUCGUUCUCGUCGGUGUAUUUCCCUGUCAUCAGGCCAGCAUCAGUUUGGGUGGCGGGUGAAAGACCUCGGGAAUGUGACACUCUUCGGGGUGUGUUAUAGCCCUUGGUGUAAUGCCGCCCGCCUGGACUGAGGAACGCGCUUCGGCUCGGAUGUUGGCGUAAUGGUUGUAAGCGA